RNAcentral lists this transfer-messenger RNA (352 nucleotides) under Ovoidimarina sediminis. It matches the Rfam family "Alphaproteobacteria transfer-messenger RNA". From Rfam's summary of the family: Bacterial tmRNA, also known as 10Sa RNA or SsrA, is named for its dual tRNA and mRNA-like properties. Lineage: Bacteria; Pseudomonadati; Pseudomonadota; Alphaproteobacteria; Rhodobacterales; Roseobacteraceae. The record is from RNAcentral.
CGCCUUGAAAUUUGCCGUGAUUUCGCAUACCUCUGUUCCGUUCCCGCAAGGGGACUAUGGACAUAAACGCGCCCGUAAUAAGCGGAUCGGACCCGGGGGCGGUACCCGGCGGCUCCACCAAAUUCCCUCGUUGGGGGAUCAUGGGGCCGAAAUAGGAUCGACGGACGUCUAAAGGGGUUUGCUUUGUCCCGGUGAGGUACCACCGAUAUCGGUCCAAACUGCAUAGUUGCCAACGACAACAAUGCUCCGGUCGCGCUCGCUGCCUAAGCAGUGCGCAAAGCCGAAAAUUAAGCCCUUGCGCCUAGCAGCGUAAGGCGGGGCCCGCCGGAGCCUGGCAACAGAAUCCGGCACC